This 369-nucleotide ribosomal RNA is filed under the name uncultured bacterium. Its description in RNAcentral is "bacterial SSU rRNA". It matches the Rfam family "Bacterial small subunit ribosomal RNA", at positions 28 to 390 of the family's 1533-position model. The record is from RNAcentral.
GAUGAACGCUAGCGGCAGGCUUAAUACAUGCAAGUCGUGGGGCAGCAGGUUUGUAGCAAUACAGAUGCUGGCGACCGGCAAACGGGGUGCGGAACACGUACAGAACCUUCCUUUGAGCGGGGAAUAGCCCAGAGAAAUUUGGAUUAAUACCCCAUAGUAUAAUGAAGUGGCAUCACUUUAUUAUUAAAGAUUUAUCACUCGAAGAUGGCUGUGCGGCUGAUUAGGUAGUUGGCGGGUAAAGGCCCACCAAGCCUGCGAUCAGUAACUGGUGUGAGAGCACGACCAGUCACACGGGCACUGAGACACGGGCCCGACUCCUACGGGAGCAGCAGUAAGGAAUAUUGGUCAAUGGGAGGCAACUCUGAACCA